Molecule: long non-coding RNA, 1186 nt
Filed under: Homo sapiens (human)
Lineage: Eukaryota; Metazoa; Chordata; Mammalia; Primates; Hominidae
Description: non-protein coding lnc-ZDHHC17-16:1
Source: RNAcentral
AUGGAAUUUCUGAAGACUUGUGUACUUAGAAGAAAUGCGUGUACUGUGGUUUGCUUCUGGAGAAGCAAAGUUGUCCAAAGGCCUUCCAUUAGAAGGAUUAGUACUACCUCUCCAAGGAGCACUGUCAUGCCUGCUUGGGUGAUAGAUAAGUAUGGGAAGAAUGAAGUGCUUCGAUUGACUCAGAACGUGAUGAUACCUAUCAUACGCUAGCCAAAUGAAGUCACUGUAAAAGUUCACCCUGCCAGUGUAAAUCCUAUAGACGUCAAUAUGAGAAGUGGUUAUGGAGCUACAGCUUUAAAUAUGAAGCGUAAUCCUUUACACAUGAAAAUCAAAGGAGAAGAAUUUCCUCUGACUCUGAUUCGGGAUGUCUCUGGAAUGGUGAUGGAAUGUGGGCUGGAUGUGAAGUACUUCAAGCCUUGAGAUAAGGUCUGGGCUGCAGUUCCUCCUUGGAAACAAGGCACUCUUUCAGAGUUUGUUGUAGUCAGUGGAAAUGAGGUCUCUCACAAACCCAAAUCACUCACUCAUAUAUCAAGCUGCCUCUUCGCCAUAUGUGGCUCUCACAGCCUCAUCUGCCAUAAACAAAGUUGGUGACCUGAAUGACAAGAAUUGCACAGGAAGACGUGUUCUAAUCUUAGGCGCUUCAAGCGGAGUUGGUAGUUUUGCUAUACAGGUAAUGAAAGCAUGGGAUGCUCGUGUGACAGCAAUUUGCGCUCAAGAUGCCAGUGAGCUUAUAAAGAAGCUUGGGGCAGAUGAUGUAAUUGAUUACAAAUUUGGAAGUGUGGAAGAGCAGUUGAAAUCCUUAAAACCGUUUGAUUUCAUCCUUGGUAAUGUUGGCGGAUCCACUGAAACAUGGGCUCAGAUUUUCUCAAGAAAUGGUCAGGAGCCACCUAUGUGACUUUGGUGAGUCCUUUCCUCCUGAACAUGGACUGAUUGGGCAUAGCAGAUGGCAUGUUACAGGCAGGAGUCACCAUAGUCUCGAAGGCAUUAAAGCAUUUCUGGAAAGGAGUCCAUUAUCGCUGGGCGUUUUUUGUGGCCAGUGGUCCACGUUUAGGUGACAUUGCAGAACUGGUGGAUGUGGGAAAAAUUGGGCCAGUUAUUGAACAAACCUUUCCUUUUUCUAAAGUUCCAGAAGCCUUCCUUAAGGUGGAAAGAGGACACAUAUGAGGAAAGACUGUAAUUAAUGUUG